GUGGGGAAUAUUGGGCAAUGGGGGAAACCCUGACCCAGCGACGCCGCGUGAGGGAAGACGGCCUUCGGGUUGUAAACCUCUUUUGUACGGGAAGAAGGAAGUGACGGUACUGUACGAAUAAGUCCCGGCUAACUACGUGCCAGCAGCCGCAGUAAUACGUAGGGGACGAGCGUUGUCCGGAAUUACUGGGCGUAAAGGGCGCGCAGGCUGUGCUGCAAGUCAGCUGUGAAAUGUCUGGGCUUAACCCGGGCAUGCGGUUGAGACUGCAGUGCUGGAGUGCUGUAGAGGCAAGUGGAAUUCCCAGUGUAGCGGUGAAAUGCGUAGAUAUUGGGAAGAACACCGGUGGCGAAGGCGACUUGCUGGGCAGCAACUGACGCUGAGGCGCGAAAGCCAGGGGAGCAAACGGGAUUAGAUACCCUGGUAGUCC
RNAcentral lists this ribosomal RNA (427 nucleotides) under uncultured bacterium. RNAcentral's name for it is "partial 16S ribosomal RNA". It matches the Rfam family "Bacterial small subunit ribosomal RNA", at positions 354 to 796 of the family's 1533-position model. The record is from RNAcentral.